AGUGAACGCUGGCGGCAGGCCUAACACAUGCAAGUCGAGCGGAAGCAGGGUGCUUGCUCGUGGAUUCGGCUGGCGACGGGCGAGUGGGGGCUGGGAACCUGCGUGUCUAUUUGUUAGUGCGUGCGGACGCGGGGGCACAUACCGCAAUCGCCCUGAGGGAGUACGGGUGGGAUCUUGGGAUCUCACGCUCUCACGUGAUCCGAGGUCGGAUUAGCUAGUUGGUGGGGUAAAGGCCUACCAAGGCGACGAUCCGUAGCUGGUCUGAGAGGAUGAUCAGUCACACUGGAACUGAGACACGGUCCAGACUCCUACGGGAGGCAGCAGUGGGGAAUAUUGGACAAUGGGCGAAAGCCUGAUCCAGCCAUACCGCGUGGGUGAAGAAGGCCUUCGGGUUGUAAAGCCCUUUUGUUGGGAAAGAAAAGCAGUAGGUUAAUACCUCGCUGUUCUGACGGUACCCAAAGAAUAAGCACCGGCUAACUUCGUG
Molecule: ribosomal RNA, 484 nt
Filed under: uncultured bacterium
Lineage: Bacteria
Description: partial 16S ribosomal RNA
Rfam family: Bacterial small subunit ribosomal RNA
Source: RNAcentral